Molecule: long non-coding RNA, 446 nt
Filed under: Capsella rubella
Lineage: Eukaryota; Viridiplantae; Streptophyta; Magnoliopsida; Brassicales; Brassicaceae
Description: long non-coding RNA (CRUB_LNC005122)
Source: RNAcentral
AUAGAGAAAUUUAACAUGUGCACUUACAUAUUUUUAUAACGACAAAAUAGGUUCUGCAUUUAAACGGACACUCGAGUGGGCAUAUCGGGACUUCUGGAUGAUGUAGAGACGAUUUGUAAGUAGUUUCUUCGUUGAUCACUUGUGAAGUGAACUCUUUUUGCAUCAAACUUCGACUCUCUGCUUUUCCAAUACUUGAAAAUGUAAUUUCUACAAAAUUUAAGUUAUAAAUUUAUCAUAUAGUAGAAAUACUUUAUCAAAUUGCAAAGAUUAUUACAUUUACGCCGAUCAGUAUAAUCAGUAAAAUUUCAUAUCAUACAAAAGAAUUUUUUUUUUACCAGAAAUAAGAGCCAAGAAGAAAAAUAAAGUGAAGGUCUUCAGAAUAUUUUUCAUAAUUAUGGGCGGAUUUGUUAUAAAGAGAGGACUACAAAAGGAAAUCAAAUGUUGAC